AAUUUAAGGAAUCAAUUAAACUAAAAUAAAUUAGAUGAUUAAAAAUUUGAUUAUCCCUUAAUAUUAAUGUUAUGUCAGGGAUCGAUAUGCGUGGCUAUUUUAAAAUAUUCGCCAGAGUUGUUGAGAUGGUUUGGCCUCUGCCUCUGGGUUUCUAUGUCAAGUCGCCAGAAUAGAACAUUAGAAGAGAAACCAACCAGAGGAUGCAGCAAAAAUGAAAGGAGAUCAACCAAGCAACAAGACUCCGAUCAUUGAAAUCUCAGUAUUAUCAGUGACAGUAGCAGCAGUUUUGUCACUCACUCAACUUCCUUAUACGAAGGUGCAAGGAAACCCAGUCCCAACUAUUCUGUUCAGCCACAGCAAUCCCUCCUUGUUCCAUGCUUUUGUAUUGUCUCUCAACUUUGCUUUCUUCGGUUCUCUCAAUUCCCUCACUCUUCGCCACUCAUAUCCCAGACUUGCCAACGCUUCUCUGCUUCUUUCUCUCUUCUCCACCGCCGCCUGGGCCGCCGUUCUCCUCUACCUUACCGUUCCCGUCUUCUUCACUUUUGCCACAUCCUUCUCAUAGAUACAUCCUAGGACCUGCCUCCAGAAACAAGACAUGCUCAAUGGGAGAGGGAGCAAAAUAUCAGCCGAAGAAUCGACGAGAGGAGAGGAGAGGAGCAGAAGAAAAUGAAAGCAAAACUUGCCAAUUAAAAUUGCCUCAUCUCCAACCACAAGGUCAAAUUUAUGAGUGUGAAACCCAAGCGGAUCGGAGUUUUGUGAUGAUUUGAAUCUGAUUCCUUCACACUCAGUGGUACGAUCUGUGAGAAUGGCGUCUCUGGUUUUUCUGGAAAUGAUUGUGGUUUUGACCCAGACGGCGGCAUGGUGCUCUUCUGGGUUCCCCGUGGAGCCUUGGAGGUUGAUCGCUACAGAUUUUCCCUGAAAAAAUGACAAUUAAAACCCCUAACGUCAUUAAUUUCAAUUAAAAACCAUAAUUUUUAUUUAAAAUAAAAAAAAUACAUAACAUUAUAAAAUUGUUUUUUAUUAAACACUAAAAAAUACAUAACUUUAUAAAAUUGUCUUUUACUAAACACAAAAUAUAUAUAAUACUAUUAAAAAUAUUAUCAUAGUAUGAAAAUAUUGUUAAUAUUUAUUAAAAAAAACAAAGAAACACACUUAAAAAUAAAUUAUUUUUCGAUAUGAAAGAAACUCUCUUUUGAAGUAUUUCAAAGUCACUUAUAAAUAUAUAAAAAUAACUUGAGAAUUUAUUAACUUUACUUAAAAAUAUGAAUCCAAUAACUUAUUAAAUUUUAUGCUUAUUCACAUAUAAUUAGACUAUUUGUAAAAUAAAAAAAUGACACUAUUAAAAUUACUAUUGUAAUAUGAAAAUAUUGUUAAUGUCAGAUAAGAAAAUAAAAACCAUACUUAGAAAUAAAUUAUUUUUAAAGAAACUCACUUUUGAAAUGUUUUAAGGUCACUAAUGAAUAUACAAAAAUAACUUAAAAAUAUCCUGAUUUCACUUGGGGAUAUAAACCCAAGACUUAUCAAAUUUCAUGUUUAUUUAUAUAUAAUUAUAUUUAAAAAAAUAAAGAAAUGACAUUAUUGAAAUCACUAUCAUGAUAUAAGAAUAUUGUUAAUGUUAAUUAAAAAAUAAGAAAUCACAUUUGGGAAUAUAUUGCUUUCCAAUAUAAAAAAACUCACUUUUAAAAUGUUCCAAUGUCAGUUAUGAAAACAUUUACGAAGAUGAUGUUAACAAAGUUAAAAAAAAUAAUUCAUAAUUAAAUUAAGCUAGAAUUAAACUUCUCCCAUGUAUAGUAAAAUUAAAGUUUUAUUUCAUUAACAUCAUCUUUGUGAAUAUUUUUAGAUAAGAACUCUUUAAAUUUUUUUUUCUCGAGCUGAUAUUGAGAACAAAGACGAAAAGAUUGGAGAGAUUAAUGCAUUGUAGGCAUCAUAAAAUAUGCAAAUAAACAGUUUAUGGUCAAAAUUGAGAGAAAGGUGUUAUAUAGUUUAUUUUUUAUAAUAGAGACUACCCAAUUCUCCUUGAAAAUAUUUCAUAACUAAAUUUACA
Long non-coding RNA from Prosopis cineraria, 2044 nucleotides. RefSeq lists it as uncharacterized. The transcript is spliced from 3 exons. The record is from RefSeq and is a predicted model, not a curated record. Lineage: Eukaryota; Viridiplantae; Streptophyta; Magnoliopsida; Fabales; Fabaceae.